Molecule: small nucleolar RNA, 68 nt
Organism: Ctenocephalides felis (cat flea)
Lineage: Eukaryota; Metazoa; Arthropoda; Insecta; Siphonaptera; Pulicidae
Product: small nucleolar RNA SNORD2
Exons: 1
Source: RefSeq, a predicted model, not a curated record
AUUUGCUAUGAUGGUAUUUCAUCUUUCGGGACUGACUUAUUAUUGAUGUCAAUUUAAGCUGAGCAUAU